Schistosoma rodhaini is the source of this 46-nucleotide non-coding RNA. Lineage: Eukaryota; Metazoa; Platyhelminthes; Trematoda; Strigeidida; Schistosomatidae. The record is from Rfam.
GCACUGCUGAUGAGUUCCAUACUAGAACGAAACGGCCUUCCAGUGC